Molecule: ribosomal RNA, 497 nt
Filed under: uncultured bacterium
Lineage: Bacteria
Description: partial 16S ribosomal RNA
Rfam family: Bacterial small subunit ribosomal RNA
Source: RNAcentral
GAUGAACGCUGGCGGCGUGCCUAAUACAUGCAAGUCGAGCGAACAGACGAUGAGCUUGCUCCUCUGACGUUAGCGGCGGACGUGUGAGUAACAUGUGGAUAACCUACCUAUAAGACUGGGAUAACUUCGUGAAACCGGAGCUAAUACCGGAUAAUAUAUUGAACCGCAGGGUUCAAUAGUGAAAGAGGGUUUUGCUGUCACUUAUAGAUGGAUCCGCGCCGUUUUAGCUAGUUGGUAAGGUAACGGCUUACCAUGGCAACCGUGCGUAGCCGACCGGAGAGGGUGAUCGGCCACAGUGGAGGUGAGCCACGGUACUGACUCCUAGGGGAGGCAGCAGUAGGGAAUCGUGCGAAAUGGGCGAAAGCCUGACGGAGCAACGCCGCGUGAGUGAUGAAGGUCUUCGGAUCGUAAAACUCUGUUAUUGGUGAAGAACAAAUGUGUAAGUAACUAUGCACGUCUUGACGGUACCUAAACAGAAAGCAACGGCUAACUACGUG